UCAAGCUAAGAAGAGCGCAGGGCGAAUGCCUUGGCACUGGGAGCCGACGAAGGACGUGAUAAGCUGCGAUAAGCUGCGGGGAGGAGCAAAUAUCCAUUGAUCCGCAGAUUUCCGAAUGGAGAAAUCCGUAUGGAGAAGUCCAUACAUCAUAUACUGAAUCCAUAGGUAUAUGAGGGAAACCGCCUGAACUGAAACAUCUAAGUAGGGCGAGGAAAAGAAAUCAACCGAGAUACCGCAAGUAGUGGCGAGCGAACGCGGCAGAGGCCAAACCCGUAGUAGAAAUACUAUGGGGGUUGCGGACUGCAUUUAGCAUUGUUGAUCUUUAACCGAAGGGCAUGGGAAGGCCCACCGAAGAACGUGAGAGUCGUGUAGGUGAAAAGGAGAGACAGCGAGCAGGAUCCAGAGUACCGCGGGACACGAGGAAUCCCGUGGGAAGCCGGGGGGACCACCCUCCAAGCCUAAAUACUACCCAGUGACCGAUAGCGUAUAGUACUGUGAAGGAAAGGUGAAAAGGACCCCGGGAGGGGAGUGAAAUAGAACCUGAAACCCUGUGCUUACAAGCACCGAGAGCCCGUCAAUGGGUGAUCGGGUACUUUUUGUAGAACGGUCCGGCGAGUAUAUGGAACAAGCAAGGUUAAGGUCUUCAGGACCGAAGCCGAAGGGAAACCAAGUCUUAAUAGGGCGCACAGUUUGUUUCAUAUGACCCGAAACCGGGUGACCUAUCCAUGUCCAGGUUGAAGUGGCGGUAAAACGCCAUGGAGGACCGAACCAACCCCCGUUGAAAAGGUGGUGGAUGAGGUGUGGAUAGCGGAGAAAUUCCAAUCGAACUCGGAUAUAGCUGGUUCUCCCCGAAAUAGCUUUAGGGCUAGCGUUGUGUUAGAUUACCGGAGGUAAAGCACUGAAUAGGCUAGGGGGCGAGAGUCUACCGACCCUUAUCAAACUCUGAAUGCCGGAUAAUUGAUGCACAGCAGUCAGACAGUGUGAGAUAAGUUUCAUUGUCAAAAGGGAAACAGCCCAGACCCACAGCUAAGGUCCCAAAUGUAUGUUAAGUGGAAAAGGAUGUCCAGUUGCACAAACAACCAGGAUGUUGGCUUAGAAGCAGCCACACAUUCAAAGAGUGCGUAACAGCUCACUGGUCGAGUGACCGGGCGCCGAAAAUGUAACGGGGCUAAACAUACAACCGAAGCUUGGGCUGCACAGCAAUGUGCGGGGUAGGGGAGCGUUGUGUGCGGGGUGAAGCACGAGCGGAAGCGCGUGUGGACUGCACAGAAGUGAGAAUGCCGGAAUGAGUAGCGCGAAUUAUGUGAGAAUCAUAAUGGCCGAAAGCCUAAGGUUUCUGGAGGAAGGUUCGUCCGCUCCAGGUUAGCCGGGAGCUAAGGUGAGGCCGAAAGGCGUAGCCGAUGCACAUACGGUGGAGAUUCCGUAGCCAUCAAAAGAUUUAAGCAGAGGGACACAGUAGAAGGGUACAUGCCGGGCGUUGGUAGCCCCGGUUGCAAGGGACCGAAAUUAGAGUAGGGAAGAUGGACUUGGAUACUGGCGAGAAAAGCUCUGUGGAUAUCUGCGAUGCCCGUACCGCAAACCGACACAGGUAGGUAGGAAGAGGAUUCUAAGGCCAACGGGAGAAGGGUUGUUAAGGAACUCGGCAAGUUGACCCCGUAACUUCGGGAGAAGGGGUGCUCUGGAAACAGAGCCGCAGAGAAUAGGUCCAGGCAACUGUUUAGCAAAAACACAGCUCUCUGCUAAAUCGAAAGAUGAUGUAUAGGGGGUGACGCCUGCCCGGUGCUGGAAGGUUAAGAGGAGGAGUGAGAGCCCCGAAUCGAAGCCCCAGUAAACGGCGGCCGUAACUAUAACGGUCCUAAGGUAGCGAAAUUCCUUGUCAGGUAAGUUCUGACCCG
Molecule: ribosomal RNA, 1895 nt
Filed under: human gut metagenome
Description: bacterial LSU rRNA
Rfam family: Bacterial large subunit ribosomal RNA
Source: RNAcentral